UCCAGACUCCUACGGGAGGCAGCAGUGGGGGAUAUUGCACAAUGGGGGGAACCCUGAUGCAGCGACGCCGCGUGGGUGAGGAAGUACCCCGGUAUGUAAAGCCCUUUCGGCAGGGAAGAAAAUGACGGUACCUGGCGAAGAAGCCCCGGCUAACUACGUGCCAGCAGCCGCGGUAAUACGUAGGGGGCAAGCGUUAUCCGGAUUUACUGGGUGUAAAGGGAGCGUAGACGGCGAUGCAAGCCAGAUGUGAAAGCCCGGGGCUCAACCCCGGGACUGCAUUUGGAACUGUGUGGCUGGAGUGUCGGAGAGGCAGGCGGAAUUCCUAGUGUAGCGGUGAAAUGCGUAGAUAUUAGGAGGAACACCAGUGGCGAAGGCGGCCUGCUGGACGAUGACUGACGUUGAGGCUCGAAAGCGUGGGGAGCAAACAGGAUUAGAUACCCCUGUAAG
This 447-nucleotide ribosomal RNA is filed under the name uncultured bacterium. Its description in RNAcentral is "bacterial SSU rRNA". It matches the Rfam family "Bacterial small subunit ribosomal RNA", at positions 330 to 793 of the family's 1533-position model. The record is from RNAcentral.